AACCCAUGGUGAGGGCAUCGUUUCAAUAAGUCCUUAUACCUCUCCCAUGCAUCAUAUAGAGUCUCUAAAUCGAUCUUAACAAAAGAAGAGAUAUCAUUCCUUAACUU
RNAcentral lists this small nucleolar RNA (107 nucleotides) under Gossypium raimondii (Peruvian cotton). RNAcentral describes it as "snoRNA LOC128042234". It matches the Rfam family "Plant small nucleolar RNA R71". From Rfam's summary of the family: R71 is a member of the C/D box family of snoRNAs containing the C (UGAUGA) and D (CUGA) box motifs. Lineage: Eukaryota; Viridiplantae; Streptophyta; Magnoliopsida; Malvales; Malvaceae. The record is from Rfam by way of RNAcentral.